Peromyscus leucopus (white-footed mouse) is the source of this 4191-nucleotide long non-coding RNA. RefSeq lists it as uncharacterized. Lineage: Eukaryota; Metazoa; Chordata; Mammalia; Rodentia; Cricetidae. The record is from RefSeq and is a predicted model, not a curated record. The transcript has 2 exons.
AUGUUUUCUUUAUAGGAGUUGCUGAGGUCAUGGUGAUUCCUCACAGCAAUAAAAACCUUAGCUAAGACACCCAGCUUUGCCUGAAGAAGCCUCUGGAAAGCAUUCCUUGGGCUGCAAAAGUAGCGUCAUGGGCUGUGUCUCUGGUCCAUGGCCAUACAACUAUGCACAAAGCUGGUUUUCUGUUACCCUCCAAACCUGGUCUCACCUGCCCAGGGUUCUUUACCUUAGUAAAUUACAGCCCCAACCAGAAAUGUGGACCACUUCCCUGCUGCCUCUCCUUCUCAGCCUCAGGCUCAUCCUCAACUGUUUAAAUGCAUGGGCACACACCCUGAUGGUCCUAUCUCUUAAUGCACUCCCCACAAUCCAUUCUUCUUUAUCUAUGUACCCAUGUUGUCACGGCACAGAUCAUCCAUCAGCCUCUGCCUCCCAAUAUCCUGUUGCUCCCCAUCACCUCACUCCCCUGCCUCUGUCAGUUCCAGGGUCCCUUUGUAUAUUUCUAAUCCCAGAGUCUUUGUAUGCCCUAUGCCCACCCCCAUAUCUGCACCUGGACAGUCUUUUCCUGCUUUUCAAAAGAGUGGCUUCUUUUCAUUUUUCAGGGCUCAUCUAGAGGGCCAUUUCCUCAGAGAAACUCCAAAGCAACACUGUCUGAAGACAGUUCCUCUCUAUAUUUCCAGGCCCUGUUCCCCACCCAUCUAAAAUAAAGUUCUACUAAUUCAUUGAGUUUACAUGUAUUCUAAGUUAUUUUCCAUGCUCAUUGUAGGCUGGAGCAGCUGUGCUUUCUAGUCUGGUGACCUUUGUGCUGUCUGUGUGGCCAGAGAUUUUCUGGCACAAGAUCCUUCCCCAGACACUUAUCACAGAUUUGUUUUUCUCCCUCAACCUAUAAGCUUUACAGAGAGUUUUUAAUGUAGUCACAUCUGAUCUGUGUUUAGCUUACUUUGCUCUUCAGAGAUUUGUGUAUUUUUUGUUGCGUACACAGGAUCGAGCUUUCACCAAAUUGUGCUGUGCUUAAAUAACCCUAAAAUAAACCACUUGGGGUCAGACUCCCAAAGUGUGAAACACUAGCAACCGAGUCACAUCGAGCCAAACUGCCUUCUUGCCUCUCAUGGUGGCUCGUCAUUCUGCUGGCCAUGAAGGUUGCAGAGACCCCUGUGCCAUGGGAGCAGUGUUUAUGUUAUACCCUGAAUUUGUUCAACCAGAACCUUCCCUGAGCAAAAAGUCCAGCAGCCCUUAGCUUCUGUUUUCUGUAACUUACCCAAGAUUCACAAAUUAGGGUGCUGAGAGUCCUCCAGCUGACUGAUGCUUUGGAUUUGAUGCUAAACUCUCUGAUUUCUUCUACCUGCCUGCUGCCCCAUCUCAUUUCAUCUGCUUCCGUCCACAGGGUCAGAACCCUGGACCCCAGCACCAACUCCAUUGCCCCGUCAAUGGAAGGCAAUCCAUUCAGGCACCCAAGCUUCUCUUCAACAAUGGAAAUUAGGAAAUGGAGGUAAAAAUUACAAACUUGGAGAGAGCCAGAAAACAGCUGGUCCCAGUCAUAGAAGAAGUCAGAUAAAUAACAUGUACCAGGUGAGGUUGAAGGUGCGCAAGCCUGGCCCAGCAGCUCGCAGCAUCAUGCAUAUGCUUCUCCAAGCUUUGUGUCCAUCACUCUAAACCAACCUCAGGUGUCUGGGGGAAGCACUAGAAAGUUGUUUUAACAUCAGCUUUACCUUGCACUUGUCAAAGGUCACAGAUAAAGGUCUGAGUUGGUCAUGCAUCUCUUUAUUUCCUUGUCCCUUUGUAUCAUCCUUGAUCCCCAUCUCUGGGUAGUUAUAAUAGCUAAUAUUUAUGAGCAUUCAUUGCAAGCCAGACAUGGUUCUGAGCCUUUCAUAUAGUUAAAGUAUAUAAUUCAUACAACAGCUCCAUGAAGUAGGAAUUGUUAUUCAUAUUUAUAACAAAGAAGAAAACAGGUCUGGAAAGUAACUUUGUCCAAGGUCACACAACUAAUAAAGAGAGCUGAGAGUUGCUCCCAGGCAAUCUUGUUCCAGAAUUUGUGGUCUUAACCCUCCACAUUGUGUACCUCAAGCUAGAUAAUGGUGGUGAAUACGCCAUGGGAAAUGCAAGCUCCUAGAUGUUCUCUUGUCUCUGUUUGUAUACUUCCUCCCCAGGGAUAUAGAGUACCAGGACGGGGGCCCUUCCUCCUGGCAGUCAAGUGUCCAGUCCACAACUUUCCAGAACAAAGGACACUUAUGUGUCUUCAUGGAAUGCCUGCGGAAAAGUUAAGUGGUGGAGGAGCCGGGGUUCUGGGUGAGAGGUUACAGAUCAUUUUGUUUCUACUACAAAUAGCAAGUGUUUGCCAAGUUCCAAUCAUGUGUCAGGCAUGGUUUAGAGUAUUUCAGAUAUUGGCAGGAGUAAUUAUGCUAGCCAGCCUCACAGAUCCUCACCCCUGCAAUUCUCGCCUUGUCUAGUUGCCCCCCAUGCUGAGCAAAGCUGACCUGUGUGACCAAGAGAUUCUGCAGAACCAUUUGUGAAUCCAUCACCGCCUUCUCCUUGGUCUUUCGAGUGGUUCUUUUGGAACGAAGCCAGCCACCGCACAGUGAGGACAUUCAUACAGUCCUGUGGGGAGGCCUUUGACCAACAGCCAUAUGAGCAAGGCCACUGGGAAGUAGGUCUUCCAUCCCAACUUGAGUCUUCAGAGACCCACUGAGCUGUCUUCCUGCAUCUGAGCAGCAGCAUCUGGACCACAGGGCUGUCAUAAUCACUACUGCAAGGCAAGGGGAAGAAGGAACGCACUGUUCGUAAGGGCCACACCAAGGUAGCAUCUUCUAUGCCCACCACAUUCACUAGCCAUAUCCACUGGAAUGAUAGAACUGCAAGGGGGCUUCAAAUAUGAAGACCAAAUGAAUAUCAGGGGAACCUCAGAAAUGUCUGCCACGUCCAUUAUUUGAUUAUAAUGAUUACUUAUCUAUUUAUCCACUUACUUAUGCUGAGGACUGAACCCAGGGCUGUAGCAUGAGAGGCAGUUCGCACCACUGAGGUACAUCCCAGCCUCAGUGUUCAUCUUGAUUCUCAGCUAGAUGAAAAUUAUUUGAGGUCAAGGAAGUCCUUUAAUUUGUUCCAGGUUAAUUCCAUCCUUUAAUUUGUUCUCCCGACCACUUAGUCUUUGCUGAAUACAUUCCUCUAGUAAUACCAUCACUCUACUGAAGUGAACGGAGGAACAGAGAUGGUCUGACAGAGUUGAGCAUACCUUGGUUUCCACACUCAGCAAUGUGGGAAUGAGUCUCAGUUACAUUGUAGACUAGAAAAGGCUGUGACUGCCUUUGAAGGAACAUAGAAACAUGGAUCACCAUGGUCACAGAGAAAAGGCUUAAAAGCAAGAGCUGUUACCUGGUAUCAUGUCUUUUGGCCUUGUGAAUUCUGAAAAAGAGAAGUGUUACAGACAUGAAUGCUGUUAUAAUCUACUUAACCAAGGCUGCGAGAAGGAUGAACUUUCAGGGCCAGGCAAGACCCUUGAGAGGAUAUGCAAAUAUUGUGUAGGUCUGAAUACAUAGGGACCUUCCUACUCACCUUUUCUAAUUUGUUUACAAAGGCAGGCACUCAAAGUUCUCAUGGUGAGAUGCUUAGCCAUUAAGGAUUCCAGGUGCUAACAUGUACUGGGGGCUUCCUGUGUUCCAGGCAGGGCUUCAGGUGUGUAUGCGUGCUUACUUCAUUUCACUCUCUCAAAAACCCCAUGGAGUGCUACUGUUUUCAUCUGUUUUACAGGCGAGGAAGCUGGUUCUUGGAGAGGUCAAGUUGCCCAAGUUCCCACUGCCCAUAAGAAGCUGAACUGUUCUUCACUCCAGAGUCCAAACCAGCCACCACCAGAGUCACAGUCACCUGGGGAUAUUAGAAAUGCAGAUCCCUGCUUUCCACCACCACCCCACCCCCAUUAGACUUGCUGAGGCAAGCAUGUGGUGUGUAUUUACGUUUAUAUGUAUGUGUGUAUGUUCAUGUCAGUGCAGGCGUAUGCACAGGUAUGUCUGCCUGAGUGUGGAGGCCAGAAGUCAGCCUUGGGUGCUGUUCCUCAGGUACCACUAACCCUUUUCCUCUCAGAGAUGGAGUCUUUCAUUGGCCUGAGAUUCGCUUAGGAUCCACCCACCUUUGCCUUCCCGGUGCUAGAAUUACAAGCAUGCCCAGCUUAAAACAAACAAACACAAACAAACAAACAAACAAACAAAC